GACGAACGCUGGCGGCGUGCCUAAUACAUGCAAGUCGAGCGCAGGAAAUCGACGGAACCCUUCGGGGGGAAGUCGACGGAAUGAGCGGCGGACGGGUGAGUAACACGUAAAGAACCUGCCCUCAGGUCUGGGAUAACCACGAGAAAUCGGGGCUAAUACCGGAUGGGUCAUCGGACCGCAUGGUCCGAGGAUGAAAGGCGCUUCGGCGUCGCCUGGGGAUGGCUUUGCGGUGCAUUGGCUAGUGGGUGGGGUAAUGGCCCACAAAGGCGACGAUGGAUAGCCGACCUGAGAGGGUGAUCGGCCACACUGGGACUGAGACACGGCCCAGACUCCUACGGGAGGCAGCAGUAGGGAAUCUUCCACAAUGGACGAAAGUCUGAUGGAGCAACGCCGCGUGAACGAUGAAGGCCUUCGGGUCGUAAAGUUCUGUUGUAAGGGAAGAACAAGUGCCGCAGGCAAUGGCGGCACCUUGACGGUACCUUGCGAGAAAGCCACGGCUAACUACGUGCCAGCAGCCGCCGUAA
This 524-nucleotide ribosomal RNA is filed under the name uncultured bacterium. RNAcentral describes it as "partial 16S ribosomal RNA". It matches the Rfam family "Bacterial small subunit ribosomal RNA", at positions 28 to 523 of the family's 1533-position model. The record is from RNAcentral.